CAGCUAGAGAAGGUCUCUCGCCUGC
Molecule: non-coding RNA, 25 nt
Filed under: Mus musculus (house mouse)
Lineage: Eukaryota; Metazoa; Chordata; Mammalia; Rodentia; Muridae
Source: RNAcentral